Molecule: ribosomal RNA, 736 nt
Filed under: uncultured Planctomycetales bacterium
Lineage: Bacteria; Pseudomonadati; Planctomycetota; Planctomycetia; Planctomycetales
Description: bacterial SSU rRNA
Rfam family: Bacterial small subunit ribosomal RNA
Source: RNAcentral
GGCUCAGAACGAACGCUGGCGGCGUGGCUAAGACAUGCAAGUCGAACGGACUAUGCAAUUGAGUAAUCGAGCGUAUAGUUAGUGGCGAAAGGGUUAGUAAUGGUUAGGUAACGUACCCCGUACUCCGGGAUAGCGUCAGGUGCUUGCACCUUUCCGAAAGGGGCGGUAAUACCGGAUAAUGUCAUCUGUUGACGGACAGGUGACCAAAGAUUUAUCGGUGUGGGAGCGGCCUAAUUCCUAUCAGCUUGUUGGUGAGGUAACGGCUCACCAAGGCAAUGACGGGUAGCGGGACUGAGAGGUUGGCCCGCAACAUCGGGACUGAGACACUGCCCGGACCUCCACGGAGGGCUGCAGUAACGAAUAUUGCGCAAUGAGCGAAAGCUUGACGCAGCGACGCCGCGUGUAGGAUGAAGUCCCUCGGGAUGUAAACUACUGUCAGGGAUACGAAAGUGCGCUUCGGCGCAUUGAUCUACCCCAGAGGAAGUCACGGCUAACUUCGUGCCAGCAGCCGCGGUAAGACGAAGGUGGCAAGCGUUGUUCGGUAUUACUGGGCUUAAAGCGUGUGUAGGCGGAAGAGUAAGCGUUUUGUGAAAUCCCUCGGCUUAACCGAGGAAUUGCUUAGCGAACUGCUUUUCUUGAGGCAAGUAGGGGUGCACGGAACUCUUGGUGGAGCGGUGGAAUGCGUAGAUAUCAAGAGGAACGCCAGUGGUGAAGACGGUGCACUGGGCUUGUUCUG